GGUCAGGAGGCGACCCCUCGCCCAGCUCCGUGGAGGGGAAGAGCGGACCCGGGGCGGAGAACAAGCAGGGGUGUGGGGACGAGGAUGGCGGGCAGAGUGAGGUGGUUUUACACCCAACGUGGGGCUCGAACUUAAAACCCAAGACCAAGCGCUGUAUGCCCCGCUGACUGAGCCACCAUCUGCGACAUCUUUCCUUUUUCUCAAGGGGUGUUCACGACUGUGUUGUUGAGUCUGCCGGUCUUUGUGAAUUUUCCUGCUUACACGUUUCACGACAUGGUGGUCAGAAAAGCUACUCAGUAUGAGGUCAGUCCUUGUAAAUCUGUUAAGACGUGUUUGGGGACCCAACCUGUGAUGCUUCCUGGUGAGUACUGUGUGUGCGGGGAAG
Molecule: long non-coding RNA, 385 nt
Organism: Mustela erminea (ermine)
Lineage: Eukaryota; Metazoa; Chordata; Mammalia; Carnivora; Mustelidae
Exons: 3
Source: RefSeq, a predicted model, not a curated record